AUACGGAGGGUGCGAGCGUUACUCGGAGUCACUGGGCGUAAAGCGUCCGUAGGCGGUCGGGUAAGUCGGGUGUGAAAGCCCCGGGCUCAACCUGGGAAGUGCACCCGAUACUGCUCGACUCGAGUGCGGGAGAGGAUGGCGGAAUUCCCAGUGUAGCGGUGAAAUGCGUAGAGAUCGGGAGGAACACCAGUGGCGAAGGCGGCCAUCUGGCCCGCAACUGACGCUGAGGGACGAAAGCGUGGGGAGCAAACAGGAGUAGAAACCCUAGUAGUCC
This 274-nucleotide ribosomal RNA is filed under the name uncultured bacterium. Its description in RNAcentral is "partial 16S ribosomal RNA". It matches the Rfam family "Bacterial small subunit ribosomal RNA", at positions 523 to 796 of the family's 1533-position model. The record is from RNAcentral.